AUUAGAGGGAUUCCCUGCUCUGUUGUGUUCAUUUAUGUACAGAGACAUUUCCCCGAACAUAGAAGAACGCAACAGAGCAGGUAAUUCCUUAAC
Molecule: non-coding RNA, 93 nt
Organism: Pelobates cultripes (western spadefoot toad)
Lineage: Eukaryota; Metazoa; Chordata; Amphibia; Anura; Pelobatidae
Source: the annotation of a GenBank genome assembly